Molecule: microRNA precursor, 172 nt
Organism: Medicago truncatula (barrel medic)
Lineage: Eukaryota; Viridiplantae; Streptophyta; Magnoliopsida; Fabales; Fabaceae
Rfam family: MIR2619 microRNA precursor family
Source: Rfam
AAACAGCCCCCUAUGUUUUGAUUCUUUGGCAGUUUUGGACCCCCAAUGCAUUGUAGAUUCAGACAAUUGACGACGUGGCACCUCACUUAGAGGUGCCACGUCAGCGUUGACCGAGUCAACAAUGGACUGGGGGUCCAAAACUGCCAAAGAAUCAAAACAUAGGGGGCUGUUU